UAGGACUUCUGCCAGCUGAAGAUACAAGAAGUCUUCAACCCAAAGAGGGCUCUCAUCUGACCACACUGGCACCCUGAUCUUGAACUCCUAGAAAUAACUGGGAAAUAUGAACACACUCCCCCACUACCACAAAUUAUGCGGUCAAGUUUCCCACAUUUGGGGGAACUGCAGAGGUCACUGUUGGAAACAGAAAACGAUGAGGUGCACAAAAUGACCUCAGGUGUGGCCACGAAGUCCCAGGUGAACAGUGAUGCACUGAGAUGUUGUGUAACUCCUCUUUAGUACAAUGGACACUUUCAUGUUUCACUUAAUCAGGCAUUACUGGAACGCCAAUGUCAGCUCUGCGUCACUGCUUGCAAAUGGAGAGUAUCCUUCUUAGAAGAAAACUCUCAAAGAACAGGAUUACUGCUUAAUUAUAUAGCAUAAAAGAUUCAGUAUCUAACAAUGAAACCAUUAUUAUGCUUUGCAAGUUCAAAGAGUCAUGUAUUCUGAGAAGAGGCUAUUAAUGUUUUAAGGAAAUUCAUCCUCGUUGGUACCAAAGGGAAUGGCUCUUUCAAACUUAAUGUCUAAAGUGAAACUUGUAAUGAUUUUAAAAACGCACUUCAUGAAAUUAAAAAAAAAUGUUUAAUUAAGAAGUUCAGAAAGUAUGGAUUUACUCAAAUCUAUUAACAGAUCUAUUAAUCUUAAACAGUCAAGAGAUAAAGUGUACAUAAAACAAACUGAAUGUUGAUUGUAAUUACCUCCUUUUGUCCCUGACUUGCAAUACAAAGGGAGUAAGAGGUGCUAAUUAAGUUUCCUUGUUAUCUGAAUAAGUGACAUUAACUUAUUUCUAAAAUUGUGGUUCAAAGCGUUUGUAGUUCUUGGAUUAAAGAGAACAGAUGCUGCUGAAAUGAACAGUAUUUCAUAGGAGAGCUUUUUUUAAAUUUCCCUUUUGUCUAUCCAAUAAUUACAAACAACCAAUCUCAAAAUUGUACUUAUUUCAUUUUUUUACACCUCUGCUUAAUCCUUCUACCUGACUCUCUUCUUCUGUUCCCCAUAAUUCAAACUCUAUUUUUGAAAACCCUACACAAUACUCAAAUUGAAAUAUUCUUCCCUGCCACUCUACUUUAUAUUAAGUUUCCCACUCUUCAGUUUCUUUGCAUACGACCUGACAUUUUACUAUUUUUCCACAAAAUGCCUUUAUUUCUUACAUGAAUGUUGUAUUUUUCUUAUGUUAAUGUCUUAGCAUGAAACCCAGGAAAAAAAGAAGGUGGUAAACCACCAACCACUUACUGAUGCAAUGGAAGCUAUAUUUUUGGAAUUAAAAAUACUCCCUAAGCUACACUCCCAAUACUCCUAAUUAAUAGUUAGUUAAGCCCUUAUAAUAUUAGUUAGAGCUAUUUUCACUUACAGUUAAAAGCACAGUAGUAAUGAAAUAUUUUUCAGUUUUUCAGUUUUUGAAUAAUGAAGAACAAUAAGACAUACCUAAGUACAGAUCAGUAUAGACACUCCAAUUAUCUGCUAAGUAUUUCCUAUCAUUUUUUUUGCAUUCAACUGUUAAGAUCUUAGGUUUCUUAUGAAUAGGGAUGAAAUUAAGCUAACUAAUGAAAAGGGGGCAAACUAUUCAAGAAAAAACAAUUUUUAAAUGUUAUGUAUUUUCAUUUUCCCUGUAGUCAUUAAAGUAUUAAAGUCAAUAAAGGUUUCUCAGACCCUACCAUAUGUACUGAAUGAGAAACUGAGCCUAAGGCCCCAGCAAUCUGUAAUUUAACUUGCUCUCUAGCUCUCUAGGUGAUACUGAUACAAGCCAAAACUUGAGGACUUCUGACCUACUUUAUACUGACUAAUGCAACUCUCAACUGCAG
Mustela lutreola (European mink) is the source of this 1841-nucleotide long non-coding RNA. RefSeq lists it as uncharacterized. The record is from RefSeq and is a predicted model, not a curated record. The transcript is spliced from 4 exons. NCBI's taxonomy places the organism in Eukaryota, Metazoa, Chordata, Mammalia, Carnivora, Mustelidae.